AGCCCAAAAGAAGAUUACCAGCAGAUAAAUCGGGUAAGUAAAAUGAUCAUGCCUUGAUGUUUCUUUCUUUAGCAUAACCAUUAGGAGUAUAGAACAAGUACUUAAGUAAAUUUGAACCAAUUUUGAGAAAGGUAAUAAACUAUGUUACAUUGCCAAAAACCCAGACUUCUGAACAAAAUUACCUGUGCUUAAUUCAGCUAGAAAUAAUGCAAUUUGGGGAAACCUCAUGUAGAGCCGUAUGUGGUUAUACACAUGUUGUAGAGUAAGUUCUGUUAUCGUGAGCAUAGAUAAUUUUGGUAACCCCUCAAACAUUACAUCUUGCCUCUGUUAUCAGAAAUAAGUGUUUCUCACACCACAAUUGCACAAUUUUUACAAAACACACUCAGAAACCACAAAGAACUUGGCCUCUGGUUAAAACAUUUUGCAAAGCUCCUGGGAAUAGAAACAAAUGCAAGAAAAAGAUGCAGGUUAUUUUAAGUAAGUAGGAAGUCACAGGUCUUUAGCAACAGCCUGAAGGUUUUCCCUUGUAUGCAAAUGUUAAUAAUAUUACCAAUGCAACUCUGUAUGAACAAAAGGCAGAUGGGUUUCAGAGUAAAUGUAAGCGUGGUGCACCCUGUCUCUGCCACUCCCUGCCUUGCCUGGGAGUGCUGGCUACCAAAAUGAAGAGUGGACUAUGAGGCUGAAAACCACUCCACAACACAUCUAAGAUUAGGACUAGAGAGUAAAUCAAAGGAUGACAGAAUGGAGAAAGGAUAUUAUGAACAAAUAUCAAGGAGUUGGACAGAGAAAAUGUAAGUGUGUCUUGUCUUCACAUCACAUAAGGAAUUGCACAACUUUGGACAAGGCAUUGGUGUUUACUGGAAGACUGCAAGAGUGUCAGAAACGCAGAUCAAGACAAUGCUGUUCCCAUGGGAAGUUGAGGUCUGCGGUCUAUUUGAAUUAGUGGUUUUUUUCCUGAAACCAUUUCAGUCAAGAAAUCAGAAUAUUACUCUUCUGUCUUCUCCCAUUUAAUGAAGAGCAGGAAGCCAGAUGCCACCAGGCACUGAGGCUGGCCAAUUCUAUGACG
Molecule: long non-coding RNA, 1066 nt
Organism: Bubalus bubalis (water buffalo)
Lineage: Eukaryota; Metazoa; Chordata; Mammalia; Artiodactyla; Bovidae
Exons: 3
Source: RefSeq, a predicted model, not a curated record